Molecule: long non-coding RNA, 11094 nt
Filed under: Vitis vinifera (wine grape)
Lineage: Eukaryota; Viridiplantae; Streptophyta; Magnoliopsida; Vitales; Vitaceae
Description: long non-coding RNA (VVIN_LNC002003)
Source: RNAcentral
CGUAAGAGAGAAGAAAGAAGAGCUGAAGCACAAAUCUUCACUCGACUCCACCGACCUCUUAUCAAGAUUCUUGAGCUCCGGCCACUCAGAUGAGGACUUUAUCACUGAUAUAGUCAUCAGCUUUAUACUCGCCGGUCGGGACACCACCUCCGCUGCUUUGACAUGGUUCUUCUGGUUACUCUUCAAGCACCCAGAUGUGGAAGAUCAGAUUCUAAAUGAAAUCAAUGAAAAGUCUGAAUUGCCGGUGUUCGAUGAAGUGAAGGACAUGGUCUACACACACGCCUCUCUCUGUGAGAGUAUGCGAUUCUACCCUCCUGUCCCCGUCGACAGCAAAGAGGUGGUGAGCGACGACGUGUUGCCGGACGGCACUGUGGUGAAGAAGGGCAUGAGGGUGACCUAUCAUCCCUACGCAAUGGGAAGGUUGGAGGAGCUGUGGGGGUCGGACUGGCCGGAGUUCCGACCAGAGAGGUGGCUGCAGAGAGACCCAGACACCGAAAAAUGGAGCUUUGUGGCCAGGGAUCCAUACACGUAUCCGGUGUUUCAGGCCGGACCCAGAAUUUGCCUGGGAAAGGAGAUGGCGUUUCUGCAGAUGAAGAGGGUGGUCGCCGGAGUCCUGCGACGAUUCCAGGUGGUGCCGGUGGUGGAGGACGGUGGCGAGCCGGUCUACACCGCCGACUUAGCUGCCAAAAUGAAAGGUGGUUUUCUGGUUAGGAUUGUGGAAAGGGCUGAUAGAGGGUGAUGUCUAUCUGCGCAUGUCCGUGUGAUCUUAUGAACGUUUGAUUGCUUUUGUUUUUUUGUGUCUUUUGUGUCUUUUUAUUAUUAUUAUUAUGUACCAAUAAAGAUGUUAGGGAUCCCAUAUCCAUGCAUUUUGGAGUAGGUUCAAAUCUACAAAAGAACAAUUGUAUUUGGACUUUUGAAAUAUGAUUAUGGCAUUAAAUAUGAGGAGAAAAACUCAACAAUGAGAACACAUGAUGUGUAAUUUUUUCUUUUCCCUUAGUUAUAUUGGGCAUUCCUUUUCAAUAUCCCAAUUAUUUACAAAGGAAUCACUGCCAUAAGCUUGCUCUCAUAUAUAUUUGAAAACAAAUAUUAUAUAUCAUAUAAAUAUUUUAUUUAUUAUAAAUGAAUAUAUUUUUAUAUUAAAAUACUUUACUUGAUUAAUUAUAAAUAUAUUAGAACUUUUUAUUAAAGUUUUUUAAAAUAAAAAUAAUAAUAAACAAAUGCAAUACAAAAUUAAGAUUUACAAAAUACAAUAUAUAAUAUAAUAAUAUAUAACAAUAUAUAUAUAUAUAUAUAUUUACUGCUACCACUAUUUAAUAUUACAUUAUAUAUCAUAUAAAAGAAGGAAUAUCAUUUAUUUUAAUAGUAAAUCCCAUAACAUGACAUAUAAAUUAUAUAGAAUUUUACUUAUAAUUUUUUAAUUUAAAACCAAACAAUGUUUUACAAAUUUUAUUUAAAAAAAAAAACGAUUUUCACACUUUUUAAUCAGAUGAAUUUUCAAAAAAAUAAAAACUAAAAUGAAAAUAGAAAAUUAAAACUUGAAAACAUAGUUCAAACCAAAUAGAACCUAAUUAUUAAAAUUAUUUUUCAAACACAACCUAUCUAAAAUUAUUGUAAUAAAUUUUAAUUUAUUUAUAUAAUUAAAUAUUAUUGGAUAAUAUAUUUGAUAUCUGUAAAUAUUAUUAUUUUUAUUAAUAUCAUAUUCUUAAUUGAAUUAUUAGUAUAUUAUGUUAUUUUUAAAUAAAAUAAUUUAUUUGAAAUUAAUAUUUUUUUUAACAAUGAACAUAUCUAUAGAAAACUCUAAAAUCUAAUUUAAAUUAUUUAAUUAAAUAUGGUAAAAAAAAAUUUACAAAAGUUUCACAUCUUUAAAAUAAUAAAACCAAAUGUUUAUCAUCACUAGUAAUCUUUUGAAGCUUUAUUUCUUCUAACCAACUCUAUUUAUACCACAUUCUAACUUAUGCAACAAAAAAAAAAAACAUAUAUAUAUAUAUAUAUUAUUAUUAUUAAAUCAAACAAGAUUAUAACAUUUAUAUUUAAAAAAAAAAAAUCAUUCAAUGACACUAAUUUAAAGAAUAUAAUACAUAUGGUCCGAUAUCUAGAGUUAUCAUAAUAAAUUUUUAUUUAAACAAUUUAGUUGAAAUAACGAUUUAAAUAAAAAUUUGCAUGAGUAUAAAAAACAAAUAUUAUAUAUAUAUAUAUAUAUAUCUUCAAAUUGAUAAAUGAUAGUUUUUUCAUUCUUUCUUUCAUUCGUUCAUGUACAGAGUAUAUAUAGAGGAUAAUCACCAUUCAAAGAAUGGGAAAGAAUAAUACAAGGAAAGAAUGAUAUAAGGAAAUAACAACUAAUAUCCUAAUAUCCUAAUAUCUCAACUUUCUUAAUAUCUCAAUAUUCCUAAUAUCUCAACUUUCCUAAUAUCUAAACAUUCCUAAUAUCUCAACACUAAAUGAUAUAAGGAAAGAAUGAUAUAAGGAAAACAUUCCUAACAUCUCAACACUUCCCCUCAAGUUGGUACAUAGCUGUCACACAUGUCCAACUUGUCUAAAAAUUUUGAGAACACUUGACUUGAGACAACUUUGGUGAGGAUAUUGGCCAAUUGAUUUUUUGAUCGAAUAUUAGGCAAUUCCACAAUCUUAUCAUCCAACUUUUCAUUAAUGAAUAAUCUAUCCACCUUGCCAUGCUUUGUACGAUCAUGUUGUAUUGGAUUAUGAGCAAUGUCACAUGCGGCUUUAUUGUCACAAAACAAUCAAAUUGGUUACCUAGAUAGGUAACAUAAAUCCUGUAAGAGGAGUCUUAACCAUAAUGCCUCACAAAGUCCUAGAGUCAUACCUCUAAAUUCCGCUUUUGCACUUGAAUGAGGGACGACAUUCUGUUUCUUAAUUUUCCAUGUCACAAGAUUACCAUUUACAAAGGUAAAGUAACCAGAUGUAGAUCGCCUAUCAUCCACUGCACUGGCCCAAUCAGCAUGAGUAUAUACUUUUAUACUCUGAUGAUCAACAUUUUUAGCGAACAAAAUUCCCUUCCCAGGAGCAUUCUUCAAAUACCUCAAAAUACGCAUGACUGCAUUCAUAUGUUGCUCUCCAGGAUUAUGCAUAUAUUGACUCACUACACUCAAUGCAUAAGCAAGAUCUGGUCUUGUAUGAGCUAAGUACAUUAAUCUCCCCACAAGUCUCUGAUAUCUUCCCUUAUUGGUUGAUACUUGAUUAGGCUCAACACACAAUUUCAGACCUUCUUCUAUUGGUGUAUUAACAGGUUGACAUCCCGACAUUCCAGUCUCUUGUAAAAGAUCUAAGGCAUACUUUCUUUGACGCAGAAAAAUUCUUUCACUUGUUCAAGAAACUUCAAUCCCAAGAAAGUAUUUCAGAGGACCUAGAUCUUUCAUUUCGAAUUUUCUAGAUAGAUAAUUUUGCAGAGCUUUUCUUUCUUUAGAAUCAUUUCCUGUAACUACCAUGUCAUCCACAUAUACGAUGAGUGUCGUAAUCUUACCAUGUUGCUUUUUCAGGAACAAAGUGUGGUCUGAAUUACUUUGACGAUAACCAAAAGCUCUCAUUGACUUUGUGAACCUUCCAAACCAUGCUCUCGGGGAUUGUUUCAACUCAUACAAUGACUUCUUCAAUUUGCACACCUUCUGACAUUGCUUUUUUGACACCAUGCAUCCUGGUGGAAGAUCCAUAUAUACUUCUUCAGAUAACUCGCCAUGCAGAAAGACAUUUUUCACAUCGAACUGUUGUAAUGGCCAAUCUAGGUUUGCAGCUAAAGACAAUAAUACUCAAACUGUGUUGAUCUUAGCUACAAGUGCAAAUGUCUCUGUGUAGUCAAUUCCAUAAGUUUGAGUGUACCCUUUUGCUACCAGUCUUGCUUUAAAUCGUUUAAUACUACCAUCUGCCUUAUACUUCACAGUAUAGAUCCAACGACACCCAACUGGCUUCUUUUUUGGUAGACAUUCUACGAGUUCCCAUGUUUCAUUCUUCUACAAUGAUUUCAUCUCUUCAUUCAUGGCUGCUUUCCACCUUGGAUCAGCUAAGGCUUCCUGCACACUAUUAGGAAUAGCUAUAGUAGAUAAUUGAUUUAUAAAUGACUUAUUUAAUUCAGGCAAACGAUGGUUAGAUACAUAGUUGCUCAUUGGAUAUUUGACUUUGGUAGACAAUUUAGGUUCAUAUGUGGCUUUAGGAAUACCUCUAUUAUGACGGUGUGGUAACCGUUUCAUGAAUGGAUCAGGUUCCAAAUUAAGAACACCCUCAACAGAUGAGGAUUGGUUUGGUAUUUCAGUGAGGACAUCUUCGGACCCAAAUUGUUGACCACUCAUAUCCAACUCACUCGCUUCCUGGUUCACUAGUUCAGAUUAUCCAGAUUCAUCCUCCUCAGAGAUAUGAUAAUCAUAAUCGAGAGUCUGAAUUUCCUUAUGGUACUCCCCCUAAAGUUCAGACUCAAAUGAAAAAUAAAUCGAAUCUUCAUGAAACACCACAUCCAUUAUAAUAUACAUUCGUCGAGUUGGAGGAUGGUAACAUCGAUAUCCUUUUUUGUGCAAUGCAUAUCUAACAAACACACAUUACAAUGCAUGAGAAGUUAACUUGGUGCGUUGGUGUUUGUGUAGAUGCACAAAUGCCACACAACCAAAAACACGAGGAGGUAAAUUUAGGACGGUUAGGGCAACUACGACAUUAGUAAGAGCUUGAAAAGGUGUUUGGAAGUUAAUUGAGCUGGAAAGUACCCGAUUGAUCAAGUAUGCGGCAGAUGUGAUUGCUUCUCCCCAAUAAGAUAUCAGUGUUUUUGCUGCUAUCAAGCAAGCACAAACAACCUCUAACAAGUGUCGAUUUUUUUGUUCAGCGACUCCAUUUUGCUGGGGUGUAUUGGAACAAGUAGUCUAAUGAAUGAUGUCAUGUCCUUCCAAAUACUUUUGAAGAUCAGAACUUUGAUAUUCUCCACCAUUAUCACUACGCAGAACCCGAACCUUUGCAUUGUACUAAGUUUUAAUCACUUUAUGAAAAUUUUGAAACAACAAGUUCACUUCAUCUUUGGUCUUCAUCAAGCAUAACCAUGUCAUUCUGGUACAAUCAUCAAUAAAAGUAACAAACCAACGUGAGCCACUCAAAGUUGGGACUUUGGAUAGGCCCCAAACAUCAGAAUGUAUAACUAUAAAAGGAAACAGACUUUUAUUCAAAAUUAACGAAAACGAAGCACGAUGGCUUUUAGCCAAUUCACAAAUAUCACAACGGAAACUAGAAAUAUCACUCUUUGCAAACAAACUAGGAAACAAUUUUUUUAAAUAACCAAAGGAAGCAUGUCCCAGACGUUGAUGCCACAACCAAAUUUCAGACAUUUUCUUCUCUCCCUCAAAUCCAUCUGCCAUCAAGGCUUAUUGCAACUUAUUUGAAUCAUUUGACUGCAAGUCCAAGUAAUAGAGUUUUCCCCGUUUAAUACCACAACCAAUUGUCUGUCUUGUUUGGAUGUCCUUAAUCACACAAAAUUCAGACAAAAAAAUGACAAUACAAGAUAAGGCUACAGUGAUUUGAGAAACUGACAAAAGAUUGUAAUCUAAAGAUGGAACAACUAAAACAGAAUCCAAAUUCAAAGUAUCAAUAAGAGUUAAGGAUCCUUCCCCAAUGGUUGGGGUUGUGUUACCAUUGGCUAUGGAAACAAUUUUUUGUGAGGAAGGUUUAAGGGGUGAAACUUGUCUAGAAUCAAAAGUCAUAUGAUCUGUAGCACCAGAAUCAAUUAUCCAUGCACUAUUAACAACAGGUGUAAAAGUAUUUAAAAAUUUACCACCAUGAUAUGUAGCGGCUACCAAUGCAGAGGCUUUCUCAACAACAUUAACCUUUGUUUUUAUUUCGGCAACAGUUGCAGUUGAGGUUUUCUUGGAAUCCUUCUUCCGUUGAUCACGAUUAUUAUCAUUAAUAACAAAGUGUUGAUAGUCUAAACAUGAUCUAAAGGUCCAUGGUUCAAACCCUCAGUUCCUCAUUUUUUUCCUGGUCAUACCAAGAGUCGUUGCUUUGAAAUUGUGGGAUAUCCAGACUGGUGGGAUCAGUCUUAUUGUAGUGAGUGCAUUUGAAGGUUGACUUAUCAAUAUUAGGGUUUGUCUUAGGAUGGUUGAUCGUUGUCGGACUACUAUAGCGACAAAAUAUCCAGGAUUUCAAUUCCAUGGCUUUGAUACCAUCUUCAAAUUGAUAAAUGAUAAUUUUUUCAUUUUUUCUUUCAUUCGUUCAUGUACAGAGUAUAUAUAGAGGGUAAUCACCAUUCUAAGAAUGAGAAAGAAUGAUACAAGAAAAGAAUGAUAUAAGGAAAUAACAACUAAUAUCCUAAUAUCUCAAUAUUCAUAAUAUCUCAACUUUCCUAAUAUCUAAAUAUUCCUAAUAUAUCAACACUAAAUGAUAUAAGGAAAGAAUGAUAUAAGGAAAGCAUUCCUAAUAUCUCAACAAUAUAUAUAUGUUAAUUUUAGCUUUUAUAUAAUAACUUUAUUAUUUAGAAGUGAAACAUUUAAAGAUUACUAUGCACAUAAUAUUGAAAAAAAAUGAUUAAAUUAUAAAAACAACAUCAUCUACUUGCACCCUCAUGUGCAUUGCAUGUGUUUUUUUUUCCUACUAGUGCUAACAUCACCUCAAAAUGAAAAAGGUGAUCGGUGAUUUCAUAUUUCUUAAUUUUUGAAGUUGCAUUGUUAGGUGUUUUGUUUAUCUAUUUUCCACAAUGAGGCUAGACCAAAACCUAUACUAGGUUUUUUUUUUUUAUUUAUUUCCUCACAUAAUUUUUUUAUUCUUCCUUUAUUUUGAUUAUUUGAUUAUUAAGGGUUCAAAUUAUAUAUUUUCGUAUUGGAAUUUGUAUUAUUUAAUAAAUAAAUAAUUUUAAAUUAGUUUUACAAUAUUUAUCAAUAAUUAUAAAAAAUGAUGGGAUGGAAAUCAAAUUAAUAUCAAUAAGAAAAAUAUUUUUAAUUUUUUUUAAUAUGAAGAUAAUUGUGUUGAAAGUUGUUUAUGUCAUUUUAUAUAUUUAUAUAUUAUUUUAAUUAAUUUUAGAAUAUCUAAAGGCUAUUUACUUUAAAUAAACCUUUAAACAAACUACUUUUUUAAAUAAUGAAUACAUAUAAAAAAAAACCUUCCAAAUGUAAUUUAAAUUAUCUAGAAAGGUUGAAAACAAUAAGGUAAUAAUUGGACCAAUACAAGAAAUAGAAAUAUUAUUGAUAUGAAAGAAAUAUUAAUAUAAAUAAAAUAUUAUUUUAUAUAUAUUUGAAAACAAAUAUUAUCUACCUUCUAAAUAUUUUAUUUAUUUAUUAGAUUAGGUUAUUGUAAAUAAAUAUAUUUUUUAUGUCAAAAUAAUUUAGUUGAUUAAUUAUAAAUACAAUAGUUCAUGCACACAAGAGAUUAAUUCUGUCUAUGAAUUCCAAGCAUAAAAACAGAAAGAAUUACUAUCUAAUUUUGCCUAAUUUAUUGUAGAAAAUUGAAAAAAUAAAUGUUUAUAAUUAAUGACUAAUCUGGGUGUACCUCUUUCUAGUUCAACAACAUUUUGAAUAUAAAAAACAGCACAACUUCAAUGAGAUUUUGAGGGUCUGAUUAAUUUCUUCUUCAUUAAUGAAUCAAUUUCUUGUUUACAGUAUUCUAAAAGUUUUUCAUUCAUUUGAAUAGGUCUAGCUUUAGUGGGACCAAAAAGCAUUUGGAAGAUCAGAACAAAUUUCUUUUUGAAAAAUAUAUUGAAUUUCUUUUAUUAUUUUUUGAACUUUAUUUUCUAGAAAUUGCUCUUCUACUUUUUUAUAAUGAAUUUCUUUUGAUAGAAAAUUUAUAUGAGUUUGUUUUCUUUGAAUUAAAUUUAUCCUUUUAUUUAUUGAAUCACUUCGAACUUGAUUUAUUUCCUUUUUGGUUAAUGGAUAUAUAAAGGGGAAAAAUUUGGUGUUUCCUAAUAUUGUAGUUUUGACACCUUUAUCAUUUACUUGAAAUGGGUAAAGUAGUGUAAUAAAAGGAACUCCUAAGAUUAAAGGUUCAAUCAUGUUUUGUACUAACACAAAUUGAGUUCUAAACAAUAAUUAUCUUGACAUAUAUAAAAAUUUUGAAGCUUGUAUUCUAUAUCUAAUUUUCCUUUAUUUGCAGCAAAAAGUUAUUGUCUUGUUUUUUCAUAAUAUUGAGUAGAGAUUAAUCAUUCUUGAAUAAAAUUCAUAUAAGCUCGUGAGUCUAUUAAUACCAUCAUUUCUAUUUCAAAAUCUUCAAUUCUGACUUUUACACUUGUAUACCAUUUUUGAAAAUAUAUUUUUGAUAUUGUAUUUAUAAAUGAUUGUAUAGGGGUUUGUUUAUUAGGUAUUAUUAUUAUUUCUGGAUCUUGAUUAUUAGAUGUUUCAGCAAAAGUUUCUUGUUUGUAUUAUAUUAUAUUUCUUAUUUGUUCAUUUUCUUGUUUUAAUUAAUAUAUUUGCUUUUUAUUUUUAUUUUUAUUUCUUCUUUCAAAUCUUCAAUAGUUAUAGGCUUUUGAGUUUUUUUGAAUUUAUUAAAAAAUUUAUCAAUUGAGUAUUAUGCAGAUCUAAUUUCUUGGGUUUUAUUUGAAUUUUCUGUGAGAAUUAAAUUUUUUAAGUUUUGUAAAUAAUUUCUUUGUAUUUCCUCAUCAUUUAUUUUGUUUAUAACAUCAAAUAAUACUUGCUUAUCUACUUUUGAAUAUAUUACAUUUAUUGUUUUAAUUAUUUUGAUUAUUUUAUUUAUUUUCUAUUUUUUUGUGCUUCAUUAAUUUCAGGACAAGAUUGUGAUAUCUUCAAAAGUAGAUAAACAAUAAAUUAAUGGUAGCAAGACGAAAAGAAAGGAAAAAAAGAAAGGAUUUUACUAAAUAUUAAUAAUAAUAAUGGUAGCAAGAUGAAUAAGGUCUUUGAUUUAAUCUUAGACCAAAACAAAAUCUUUGUUAAUGAAAUUUUUUAUUAUCAUUUAAGAGAGAUUUGUAUACAAGAAAAUUUCAAAAUAAAUAUAAGUAUUCAAUUUGAAGGAAAAUUAUACAAACAUAAGAAAUGAGGUUUUGUGGAAAAAUAUAAAAAUAAAUAAAUAAAAAUUGGAUUUUCGUUGUUCAAUAAAAACGCGUAAGACAUAAUGGGUAUUCAUUGUGAAAUCUCGAUAUUUAUCUCCUUACUUUUUAUCUCUUUUAUUAUCUUUCUAGGAUUCUCUCUCUCUUAUCUCUUCAUCUUUCUUUCUAGUUCCUUGGUCUCUAGACUUCUCAGAUUUGUUAAAUAUUUUUAUUUUUAUUUUAAAGAAACUAAAAUUCCCCAAUGACAAUUUAAAAUUUAUAACUCCUUAUCAUUAUAAACCAUAAACUCAAAGGGAGUUUCAUUAAUAAAAAGUAAAUUUAGCUUGAAUGAGUGUUGGCCUUCGUUUAUACUAUCAGACACAUCAAUUUUCUACCUUUUUUUUUUUUUUUUUUUAAGGAUAAUUAAAAACUUGCUUGGAAAAAAAGAUAUAUAUCUUUUGGUACCAUAUAGAAAAGUGCUAGAAAAUCACAAAAUGUCACAUUUUUAAAUAAAAGUUUCAUUAUUUUGUAUCCCAUACAUGACACCAUCGUUUAGGUCCAAUUUUUCAUUAUUUAAAGACUCAGUCUCUGAGUUUAUUUGAAAAAGUCAAAAACUUACAAACUUUGAAGAGGUCCCUACGAAUAUUUUAAAGAGCGAAAGGUGUAAGUAUAUUGGUUGAAGGGCUUCUAGACAACUAGGGAUAUACAAUCAAUGGUUUAAUAAGAUUAGUUGUAGGUUGGUAGAAUUAGAUUGAAAAUGAGUCAAAUGACAGUGGUGACGCUAGCGAAAUACAGUCAGUCACCAAUCAUCAUCGUAAUUUUGUAAGCAGUGACGACCACACUCCUAACUUCCAUUAAUACAGAGUCAAAUGUUUUUUACGUCUACAAAAAGAGCAAAAGAAACCUUACUGAUGGACAGACCUAUAAAUACCACACAAUCCACUCCUCACAAAUCAUAUCUCAUUAUCUUUUUCCUUUCAGUCUACAGAUUCCAUUCACGAGUCUACAGAGAAACACACCAGGACCAAUCACCAUCAACCAUGUUUGAGUUUAGCCUCCUACUUUCUCCAUUUCUCUUCAUUCUUCCACUACUUUUCUUCUUCUUCUCCUUCAUUCGCACAAAAUCACCUUCAUCUCCUUCCGCCAGUGCCCUCAAAUGUUACCCAAUAAUUGGCUCAUCUCUGGAAAUCUUAGCCAAUCUAAACCGACGUAUCCAGUGGACAUCUGAUCUUAUUAGAGCCUCACCCUCUGCAACUGUAGUCAUCCACCGCUUUCUGGGCACACGUGUUGUCCUCACUGGCAACCCUUCCAAUGUGCAACACAUCCUCAAGACCCACUUCCACAACUACCAUAAAGGCCAGACCUUUGCAAUCAACCUCUCUGAUUUUCUUGGUGGCGGCAUCUUCAAUGCCGACGGCGACAACUGGAAGUUCCAGAGACAGGUCUCCAGCCAUGAAUUCAACACAAAAUCCCUGCGCAAAUUCAUUGAGACUGUCGUCGAUGCUGAGCUCUCCGACCGCCUCAUCCCUAUUUUAAGCAUGGCUGCCGCCAACAAUUCGAUUCUGGACUUUCAAGAUAUUCUCCAGAGAUUCGCUUUCGAUAACAUCUGCAAAAUCGCUUUCGGGUACGAUCCAGCUUAUCUAUUGCCAUCUCUCCCACAGGCAAAAUUCGCAGUUGCUUUCGAGGAUGCAGCUCGAAUUAGCAGCGAGAGGUUCUCUUCGAUUCGCCCAACUGUGUGGAGACUGAAACGGCUUAUGGGAGUGGGGUCGGAGAAGCGUCUGAAGCUUGCAGUGGGUGAGGUGCGUGAGUUCGCAAAAAACAUCAUAAGAGAGAAGAAAGAAGAGCUGAAGCACAAAUCUUCACUCGACUCCACCGACCUCUUAUCACGAUUCUUGAGCUCCGGCCACUCAGAUGAGGACUUUGUCACUGAUAUAGUCAUCAGCUUUAUACUCGCCGGGCGGGACACCACCUCCGCUGCUCUGACAUGGUUCUUCUGGUUACUCUUCAAGAACCCAGAUGUGGAAGAUCAGAUUCUGAAUGAAAUCAAUGAAAAGUCUGAAUUGCCGGUGUUCGAUGAAGUGAAGGACAUGAUCUACACACACGCCUCUCUCUGUGAGAGUAUGCGAUUCUACCCUCCUGUCCCCGCC